RNAcentral lists this ribosomal RNA (493 nucleotides) under Thaiphusa sirikit. Its description in RNAcentral is "partial 16S ribosomal RNA". It matches the Rfam family "Bacterial large subunit ribosomal RNA", at positions 1837 to 2591 of the family's 2925-position model. The record is from RNAcentral. Lineage: Eukaryota; Metazoa; Arthropoda; Malacostraca; Decapoda; Potamidae.
GUUGUACUAUAGGAAUUGCCUGCCCUUAAAUAAUUAAGGGCCGCAGUAUUAUAACUGUGCAAAGGUAGCAUAAUCAUUAGGUUUUUAAUUGGAAUCUCGUAUGAAUGGUUGGACAAGAGAAAAUCUGUCUUUAUAUUAAAAAUUGAAUUUAACUUUUAAGUGAAAAGGCUUAAAUAUUCUAGAGGGACGAUAAGACCCUAUAAAACUUUACAUUGUGAUUAGAAUUUAGUUAAAUUUAGAAGUAAAAACUUGAUUAAAAUUGUUUGGUGUUGGGGAGAUAUAAGUAAAAUUUAUUUUAACUGCUUAAAUUGUUAAACAGUUAUAAGUGAAAAUAGUUGAUCCUUUUUAAAGAUUAGUAGUUUAAGUUACUUUAGGGAUAACAGCGUAAUUUUUUUUAAGAGUUCUUAUCGAAAAAGAAGAUUGCGACCUCGAUGUUGAAUUAAAAAGUCUAUAUAAUGGAGAUGUUAUAUAAGAAGGUCUGUUCGACCUUUAA